AGGGAAAAAGAUUGCUGAGGAAAGAGCUCAUAGGGGGCGUAAAUCCACUUCUGUUUUUGGAUCAGACAAGCCGGAACCCAAAUGGGACUCGGUCUCUUCUUACUGCAGACAACAUGGAGCAGAUAGAGGACCUGUUCAAUGUAGAAAACGUUGGAGCAACAUGAUCAGUGAUUUCAAGAAAAUUAAAACAUGGGAGACACAGACAAAUGGAAGCAGUGAAUCUUAUUGGAUUAUCAGUAACGAUCUCAGGCGAGAGAAAAGGCUACCAGGUUCUUUUGAUAGAGAAGUCUACAAUGUCUUGGAUGGGAAGGAAUUCACAGCAGAAGCAUACCAACUAGCUCUGGUAACCAUAACCACAGAUGAAAAACUUGACUAUGGUGUAGAAACAGUUGAAGAAGAGGAAGCGGAAGAGGG
This 414-nucleotide long non-coding RNA is filed under the name Solanum tuberosum (potato). RNAcentral's name for it is "long non-coding RNA (STUB_LNC004197)". The record is from RNAcentral. Lineage: Eukaryota; Viridiplantae; Streptophyta; Magnoliopsida; Solanales; Solanaceae.